RNAcentral lists this ribosomal RNA (497 nucleotides) under uncultured bacterium. Its description in RNAcentral is "partial 16S ribosomal RNA". It matches the Rfam family "Bacterial small subunit ribosomal RNA", at positions 28 to 507 of the family's 1533-position model. The record is from RNAcentral.
GAUGAACGCUGGCGGCGUGCCUAAUACAUGCCAGUCGAGCGAACAGACGAGGAGCUUGCUCCUCUGACGUUAGCGGCGGACGGGUGAGUAACACGUGGAUAACCUACCUAUAAGACUGGGAUAACUUCGGGAAACCGGAGCUAAUACCGGAUAAUAUAUUGAACCGCAUGGUUCAAUAGUGAAAGACGGUUUUGCUGUCACUUAUAGAUGGAUCCGCGCCGCAUUAGCCAGUUGGUAAGGUAACGGCUUACCAAGGCAACGAUGCGUAGCCGACCUGAGAGGGUGAUCGGCCACACUGGAACUGAGACACGGUCCAGACUCCUACGGGAGGCAGCAGUAGGGAAUCUUCCGCAAUGGGCGAAAGCCUGACGGAGCAACGCCGCGUGAGUGAUGAAGGUCUUCGGAUCGUAAAACUCUGUUAUUAGGGAAGAACAAAUGUGUAAGUAACUAUGCACGUCUUGACGGUACCUAAUCAGAAAGCCACGGCUAACUACGUG